AGAGUUUGAUCCUGGCUCAGGAUGAACGCUAGCGGCGUGCCUUAUGCAUGCAAGUCGAACGGUCUUAAGCAAUUAAGAUAGUGGCGAACGGGUGAGUAACGCGUAAGUAACCUACCUCUAAGUGGGGGAUAGCUUCGGGAAACUGAAGGUAAUACCGCAUGUGGUGGACCGACAUAUGUUGGUUCACUAAAGCCGUAAGGCGCUUGGUGAGGGGCUUGCGUCCGAUUAGCUAGUUGGUGGGGUAAUGGCCUACCAAGGCUUCGAUCGGUAGCUGGUCUGAGAGGAUGAUCAGCCACACUGGGACUGAGACACGGCCCAGACUCCUACGGGAGGCAGCAGCAAGGAAUCUUGGGCAAUGGGCGAAAGCCUGACCCAGCAACGCCGCGUGAGGGAUGAAGGCUUUCGGGUUGUAAACCUCUUUUCAUAGGGAAGAAUAAUGACGGUACCUGUGGAAUAAGCUUCGGCUAACUACGUGCCAGCAGCCGCGGUAAUACGUAGGAAGCAAGCGUUAUCCGGAUUUAUUGGGCGUAAAGUGAGCGUAGGUGGUCUUUCAAGUUGGAUGUGAAAUUUCCCGGCUUAACCGGGACGAGUCAUUCAAUACUGUUGGACUAGAGUACAGCAGGAGAAAACGGAAUUCCCGGUGUAGUGGUAAAAUGCGUAGAUAUCGGGAGGAACACCAGAG
This 682-nucleotide ribosomal RNA is filed under the name uncultured bacterium. Its description in RNAcentral is "bacterial SSU rRNA". It matches the Rfam family "Bacterial small subunit ribosomal RNA", at positions 8 to 714 of the family's 1533-position model. The record is from RNAcentral.